This 216-nucleotide long non-coding RNA is filed under the name Elaeis guineensis (African oil palm). RNAcentral describes it as "long non-coding RNA (EGUI_LNC072151)". The record is from RNAcentral. Lineage: Eukaryota; Viridiplantae; Streptophyta; Magnoliopsida; Arecales; Arecaceae.
GUUCUCUCUUAUGCAUGAAAAAUUGGGAAGAAAGGGUUCUUCUCUUGAUCUCUAUUGUAGAGAUCUGAUGCGUGGAUCUAAGAAGAAAAGGAGAGGGUCUCCUUAUUCUUCAUUUUCUUCAUGAUUCUUCUUAGUUCAAUCAAAGCAUGGUGUCCUUGCGAGCUAGCACUCCUGAGGAGAUCGAUCAGCACAAGGACUUUGUGUGGAUCCCCAUAG